AGGCGUUUACCCUUAUGCUGUGCUUGUGAUGAUGAGUGAGUUCUCAGAAGGUCUGAUGGUUUUAUAUGGGGCUUUUCCCCUCUUGCACUUUCUUCUCUCUCCUGCCACGAUGUGAUGAAGGACAUAUUUGCUUCCCCUUCCACCUUGAUUGUGUUUCCUGAGGCCUCCGCAGCCUUGCAGAAUGGGGCUAGAAGUAUGAGUACUAUAUUGAAUAAAUGGCGACAGCAGAAAUCAUUGUCUUCUUCCUACUCUUGAGUGAAAACAGCCAGUCUGUCACUACUAAAUAUGAUGCUAGCUGAAGGGAUUUUAUAGA
This 313-nucleotide long non-coding RNA is filed under the name Homo sapiens (human). Its description in RNAcentral is "HSALNT0052470". The record is from RNAcentral. Lineage: Eukaryota; Metazoa; Chordata; Mammalia; Primates; Hominidae.